This 484-nucleotide ribosomal RNA is filed under the name uncultured bacterium. RNAcentral describes it as "partial 16S ribosomal RNA". It matches the Rfam family "Bacterial small subunit ribosomal RNA", at positions 29 to 507 of the family's 1533-position model. The record is from RNAcentral.
AGUGAACGCUGGCGGCAGGCCUAACACAUGCAAGUCGAGCGGCAGCGCGGGGGCAACCCUGGCUUCGUGCUGCGGACGGGUGUGGAAUUCGUCUGUAUCUGCCUUUUUGUGUUUGAUAACGUCUGGAAACUUACGCUAAUACCGCAUACGUCCUACUGGUGAACGUGUGGGACCGCAAGUCCUCACGCCGAUUGAUGAGCCGACGACCGAUUAGCUAGUUGGUGGGGUAAAGGCCCACCAAGGCGACGAUCGGUAGCUGGUGUGAGAGGAUGAUCAGCCACACUGGAAGUGAGACAGGGACCAGACACCUACGGGAGGCAGCAGUGGGGAAUAUUGGACAAUGGGCGCAAGCCUGAUCCAGCAAUGCCGCGUGUGUGAAGAAGGACUUCGGGUUGUAAAGCACUUUUGUCCGGAAAGAAAAACAUGGAGCUAAUACCUACGGGGGAUGACGGUACCGGAAGAAUAAGCACCGGCUAACUUCGUG